RNAcentral lists this unclassified non-coding RNA (303 nucleotides) under Hevea brasiliensis (rubber tree). The record is from RNAcentral. Lineage: Eukaryota; Viridiplantae; Streptophyta; Magnoliopsida; Malpighiales; Euphorbiaceae.
AAACUUCUCUGCUGCAGAUAGCUACCCAUCUUUCUCAGCUUUGCUCAGAAACCCAUCUUCCUUGCUCAGAUAAAGAGAGACAUUAUACUUAAAUACCCUUUAAUAUAAACCCAUCUUCCUCAUCUAUGCCUUCAUUCUCUCUCGUCAACCUGAGGCAGCCUUCCUUCCCCACCUCUCCUCCUCACAGUCUUCCAAAUCGCACCUCGUCGGCCUCCUCGCCUCAUGAAAGAUAACGAAUAAUCCAAGCUUGUGAUUCUGGAUUUCUGAUACUUAGCGACAUGAUCGUCUUCCAUAUCAUGGCCA